This 253-nucleotide ribosomal RNA is filed under the name uncultured bacterium. RNAcentral's name for it is "partial 16S ribosomal RNA". It matches the Rfam family "Bacterial small subunit ribosomal RNA", at positions 524 to 776 of the family's 1533-position model. The record is from RNAcentral.
UACGUAGGCAGCGAGCGUUGUUCGGAAUUACUGGGCGUAAAGAGCUCGUAGGCGGUUUGUCGCGUCGAAUGUGAAAACCCGGGGCUCAACCCCGGGCCUGCAUUCGAUACGGGCAGACUAGAGUUCGGUAGGGGAGUCUGGAAUUCCUGGUGUAGCGGUGAAAUGCGCAGAUAUCAGGAGGAACACCGGUGGCGAAGGCGGGACUCUGGGCCGAUACUGACGCUGAGGAGCGAAAGCGUGGGGAGCAAACAGG